This 1450-nucleotide ribosomal RNA is filed under the name Peribacillus simplex. RNAcentral's name for it is "bacterial SSU rRNA". It matches the Rfam family "Bacterial small subunit ribosomal RNA". Lineage: Bacteria; Bacillati; Bacillota; Bacilli; Caryophanales; Bacillaceae. The record is from RNAcentral.
UGCUUACGCUCUAUAAUGCAGUCGAGCGAUCGAUGGGAGCUUGCUCCCUGAGAUUAGCGGCGGACGGGUGAGUAACACGUGGGCAACCUGCCUAUAAGACUGGGAUAACUUCGGGAAACCGGAGCUAAUACCGGAUACGUUCUUUUCUCGCAUGAGAGAAGAUGGAAAGACGGUUUACGCUGUCACUUAUAGAUGGGCCCGCGGCGCAUUAGCUAGUUGGUGAGGUAAUGGCUCACCAAGGCGACGAUGCGUAGCCGACCUGAGAGGGUGAUCGGCCACACUGGGACUGAGACACGGCCCAGACUCCUACGGGAGGCAGCAGUAGGGAAUCUUCCGCAAUGGACGAAAGUCUGACGGAGCAACGCCGCGUGAACGAAGAAGGCCUUCGGGUCGUAAAGUUCUGUUGUUAGGGAAGAACAAGUACCAGAGUAACUGCUGGUACCUUGACGGUACCUAACCAGAAAGCCACGGCUAACUACGUGCCAGCAGCCGCGGUAAUACGUAGGUGGCAAGCGUUGUCCGGGAAUUAUUGGGCGUAAAGCGCGCGCAGGUGGUUUCUUAAGUCUGAUGUGAAAGCCCACGGCUCAACCGUGGAGGGUCAUUGGAAACUGGGGAACUUGAGUGCAGAAGAGGAAAGUGGAAUUCCAAGUGUAGCGGUGAAAUGCGUAGAGAUUUGGAGGAACACCAGUGGCGAAGGCGACUUUUUGGUCUGUAACUGACACUGAGGGGCGAAAUCGUGGGGAGCAAACAGGAUUAGAUACCCCUGGUUGUCCCCGCCGUUAACGAUGAUUGCUACGUUGUUAGAGGGUUUCCGCCCCUUUUAGUUGCUGCAGCUAACGCAUUAAGCACUCCCGCCUGGGGGAGUACGGGCCGCAAGGGUGAAACUCAAAGGAAUUGACGGGGGCCCCGCACAAGCGGUGGAGCAUGUGUUUUAAUUCGAAGCAACGCGAAGAACCUUACCAGGUCUUGACAUCCUCUGACAACCCUAGAGAUAGGGCUUUCCCCUUCGGGGGACAGAGUGACAGGUGGUGCAUGGUUGUCGUCAGCUCGUGUCGUGAGAUGUUGGGUUAAGUCCCGCAACGAGCGCAACCCUUGAUCUUAGUUGCCAGCAUUCAGUUGGGCACUCUAAGGUGACUGCCGGUGACAAACCGGAGGAAGGUGGGGAUGACGUCAAAUCAUCAUGCCCCUUAUGACCUGGGCUACACACGUGCUACAAUGGAUGGUACAAAGGGCUGCAAACCUGCGAAGGUAAGCGAAUCCCAUAAAGCCAUUCUCAGUUCGGAUUGCAGGCUGCAACUCGCCUGCAUGAAGCCGGAAUCGCUAGUAAUCGCGGAUCAGCAUGCCGCGGUGAAUACGUUCCCGGGCCUUGUACACACCGCCCGUCACACCACGAGAGUUUGUAACACCCGAAGUCGGUGAGGUAACCUCAUGAGCCAGCGCUAAUGACAAU